Molecule: ribosomal RNA, 253 nt
Filed under: uncultured prokaryote
Description: partial 16S ribosomal RNA
Rfam family: Bacterial small subunit ribosomal RNA
Source: RNAcentral
UACGUAGGGGGCGAGCGUUGUCCGAAGCGACUGGGCGUAAAGCGCACGUAGGCGGCCCUGUCAGUGACCUCUAGAAGGUGGCAGCUCAACUGCCGAGGGUGGGGUCAGACGGGAGGGCUUGAGGCGAGCAGAAGAGUGUGGAACUCCGAGUGUAGCGGUGGAAUGCGUAGAGAUCGGGAGGAACACCAGAGGCGAAGGCGGCGACCUGGACAGGUACUGACACUCAACUACGAAAGCGUGGGGAGCAAACAGG